UACGUAGGGGGCAAGCGUUGUCCGGAUUUACUGGGUGUAAAGGGUGCUCAGGCGGAUUCGUAAGUCAGUGGUGAAAUCCCGGAGCUUAACUCCGGAACUGCCAUUGAUACUGCGAGUCUCGAGUUUGGAAGAGGUAGAUGGAAUAUCUGGUGUAGCAGUGAAAUGCGUAGAUAUCAGAUAGAACACCAAUGGCGAAGGCAGUCUACUGGUCCAAUACUGACGCUAAAGCACGAAAGUGUGGGUAGCAAACAGGAUUAGAUACCCUGGUAGUCCACACCCUAAACGAUGAAUACUAGACGUUGGUCCUUUUAAGGAUCAGUGUCUGAGCUAACGCAUUAAGUAUUCCACCUGGGAAGUACGAUCGCAAGGUUGAA
This 374-nucleotide ribosomal RNA is filed under the name uncultured bacterium. RNAcentral describes it as "bacterial SSU rRNA". It matches the Rfam family "Bacterial small subunit ribosomal RNA", at positions 524 to 898 of the family's 1533-position model. The record is from RNAcentral.